Small nucleolar RNA from Gadus morhua (Atlantic cod), 130 nucleotides. The record is from Ensembl. NCBI's taxonomy places the organism in Eukaryota, Metazoa, Chordata, Actinopteri, Gadiformes, Gadidae.
AAAGGCCCCUAUCGAAGCCGUUCAAGCUUAUUGCAGCACCUAGCGGUCAGCAGGCGGCCAUCACUUACACCGACGGUCGCUGUUCAGUUGCCAAAUAACUGCUAUAUUAACAUUAAGGGAAAGGAUAUUA